AUACUUGCUUCGGCAGCGUAUGUACUAAAAUUGUAAUGAUGCAGAAAAUUAGCAGGGCCCUUGUGCAAGAGUGACAUGCAAAUUUAUGAAGUUUUUCAUAUUUAA
Small nuclear RNA from Panthera pardus (leopard), 105 nucleotides. Lineage: Eukaryota; Metazoa; Chordata; Mammalia; Carnivora; Felidae. The record is from Ensembl.